UAUAGCUUGCUAUAAUUGUCAGCUAAGUGGCGCACGGGUGAGUAAUGUAUAGAUAACCUGCCCUUAAGAAAGGAAUAACAGUUGGAAACGACUGCUAAUGCCCUAUAUGCCUUUAAUACAUAAGUAUGCAAGGGAAACGCUUUAGUGCUUAAGGAUGGGUCUGUAUGGUAUCAGCUUGUUGGUGAGGUAAUGGCUCACCAAGGCUAUGACGCCUAACUGGUUUGAGAGGAUGAUCAGUCACACUGGAACUGAGACACGGUCCAGACUCCUACGGGAGGCAGCAGUGGGGAAUAUUGCACAAUGGACGAAAGUCUGAUGCAGCAACGCCGCGUGGAGGAUGACACAUUUCGGUGCGUAAACUCCUUUUAUAUAGGAAGAUAAUGACGGUACUAUAUGAAUAAGCACCGGCUAACUCCGUGCCAGCAG
This 426-nucleotide ribosomal RNA is filed under the name uncultured bacterium. RNAcentral describes it as "bacterial SSU rRNA". It matches the Rfam family "Bacterial small subunit ribosomal RNA", at positions 74 to 514 of the family's 1533-position model. The record is from RNAcentral.